Sander lucioperca (pikeperch) is the source of this 191-nucleotide small nuclear RNA. Its record names the gene U2. It matches the Rfam family "U2 spliceosomal RNA". From Rfam's summary of the family: U2 is a small nuclear RNA (snRNA) component of the spliceosome (involved in pre-mRNA splicing). The record is from Ensembl. Lineage: Eukaryota; Metazoa; Chordata; Actinopteri; Perciformes; Percidae.
AUCGCUUCUCGGCCUUUUGGCUAAGAUCAAGUGUAGUAUCUGUUCUUAUCAGUUUAAUAUCUGAUAUGUCCUCUAUCAGGGGACAACAUAUUAAAUGGAUUUUUAGCAGUGGGAGUUGAAAAAGGGGCUUGCUCCAUUCACUCCACGCAUCGACCCGGUAUGGCAGCGCCACCGGGAACGGUGCACCCUUC